GCCAAAUACGAAGGAGAAGGAAUAUGUGAAGAGCCUUAAACCGUCCGUUUGGUUAACAGAGGAAUUCCCGUUGAAGACGGAAGAGUUGCUGCCGUUACUUGACAUAUUAGCGAACAAAGUGAAAGCCGUUAGACGAAUGAGAGAGCUGUUAACCACCAAGUUCCCUCCGGGGACAUUUCCAGUCAAGUUGGCAAUACCAGUGGUCCCU
RNAcentral lists this unclassified non-coding RNA (208 nucleotides) under Hevea brasiliensis (rubber tree). The record is from RNAcentral. Lineage: Eukaryota; Viridiplantae; Streptophyta; Magnoliopsida; Malpighiales; Euphorbiaceae.